Molecule: non-coding RNA, 74 nt
Organism: Paramuricea clavata
Lineage: Eukaryota; Metazoa; Cnidaria; Anthozoa; Malacalcyonacea; Plexauridae
Source: the annotation of a GenBank genome assembly
UUCUGUAGCUCAGUUGGCUAGAGCGCCGCGCCAGAAUCGCAGGGCCGCAGGUCAUCGAUUCCUGCAGGCGGAUG